RNAcentral lists this signal recognition particle RNA (266 nucleotides) under Candidatus Rokuibacteriota bacterium. Its description in RNAcentral is "Candidatus Rokubacteria bacterium signal recognition particle sRNA large type". It matches the Rfam family "Bacterial large signal recognition particle RNA". Rfam says of the family: The signal recognition particle (SRP) is a universally conserved ribonucleoprotein involved in the co-translational targeting of proteins to membranes. Lineage: Bacteria; Candidatus Rokuibacteriota. The record is from RNAcentral.
CCGUGCUAGACGGGGAGUUAGCGGUGCCCUGUGACCCGCAAUCCGCUUCAGCGGGGUCGAAUUCCCAUUCCGAGGGCGGUCCGUGUUGAAUGAGCCUCAGGGGGCGGCGUUGAAGGUUGGGCCCCACGCAACGAGAAUCACCGAACCCCGCCAGACCCGGAAGGGAGCAACGGUAAGGCGACCCUCUCGUGUGCCGUGGGAGUACCUGACUGGAGCAGGCUUCCCGUGGAGUUCGCAGUACGGAUCGUUCGAAGGUGGGUGCACGG